RNAcentral lists this non-coding RNA (28 nucleotides) under Mus musculus (house mouse). The record is from RNAcentral. Lineage: Eukaryota; Metazoa; Chordata; Mammalia; Rodentia; Muridae.
UGAGUGUCAAUAUUAGGAAUUGGGACAC